This 390-nucleotide ribosomal RNA is filed under the name Gliocladium viride. RNAcentral describes it as "bacterial SSU rRNA". It matches the Rfam family "Eukaryotic small subunit ribosomal RNA", at positions 21 to 375 of the family's 1831-position model. Lineage: Eukaryota; Fungi; Ascomycota; Sordariomycetes; Hypocreales. The record is from RNAcentral.
UGUAGUCAUAUGCUUGUCUCAAAGAUUAAGCCAUGCAUGUCUAAGUAUAAGCAAUUAUACGGCGAAACUGCGAAUGGCUCAUUAUAUAAGUUAUCGUUUAUUUGAUAGUACCUUACUACUUGGAUAACCGUGGUAAUUCUAGAGCUAAUACAUGCUUAAAAUCCCGACUUCGGAAGGGAUGUAUUUAUUAGAUUAAAAACCAAUGCCCUUCGGGGCUCUCUGGUGAUUCAUGAUAACUUCUCGAAUCGCAUGGCCUUGCGCCGGCGAUGGUUCAUUCAAAUUUCUUCCCUAUCAACUUUCGAUGUUUGGGUAUUGGCCAAACAUGGUUGCAACGGGUAACGGGGAAUGGGGCGGGGGCGGCGGGCCGGGCGCGGGGCGCGGCGGGCGGCA